RNAcentral lists this ribosomal RNA (482 nucleotides) under uncultured bacterium. Its description in RNAcentral is "partial 16S ribosomal RNA". It matches the Rfam family "Bacterial small subunit ribosomal RNA", at positions 29 to 507 of the family's 1533-position model. The record is from RNAcentral.
ACGCACGCUGGCGGCGUGCUUAACACAUGCAAGUCGAACGCUGAAGCUCAGCUUUUGUUGGGUGGAUGAGUGGCGAACGGGUGAGUAACACGUGAGUAACCUGCCCCCUUCUUUGGGAUAACGCCCGGAAACGGGUGCUAAUACUGGAUAUUCACUGGUCUUCGCAUGGGGGUUGGUGGAAAGGGUUUUUCUGGUGGGGGAUGGGCUCGCGGCCUAUCAGCUUGUUGGUGGGGUGAUGGCCUACCAAGGCUUUGACGGGUAGCCGGCCUGAGAGGGUGACCGGUCACAUUGGGACGGAGAUACGGCCCAGACUCCUACGGGAGGCAGCAGUGGGGAAUAUUGCACAAUGGGCGCAAGCCUGAUGCAGCGACGCCGCGUGAGGGAUGGAGGCCUUCGGGUUGUGAACCUCUUUCGCUCAUGGUCAAGCCGCAACAAUGGUUGUGGUGAGGGUAGUGGGUAAAGAAGCGCCGGCUAACUACGUG